This 253-nucleotide ribosomal RNA is filed under the name uncultured bacterium. RNAcentral's name for it is "partial 16S ribosomal RNA". It matches the Rfam family "Bacterial small subunit ribosomal RNA", at positions 524 to 776 of the family's 1533-position model. The record is from RNAcentral.
UACGGAGGGUGCAAGCGUUAUCCGGAUUUAUUGGGUUUAAAGGGUCCGUAGGCGGAUCUGUAAGUCAGUGGUGAAAUCUCACAGCUUAACUGUGAAACUGCCAUUGAUACUGCAGGUCUUGAGUAAAUUUGAAGUGGCUGGAAUAAGUAGUGUAGCGGUGAAAUGCAUAGAUAUUACGUAGAACACCAAUUGCGAAGGCAGGUCACUAAGAUUUAACUGACGCUGAUGGACGAAAGCGUGGGGAGCGAACAGG